Molecule: ribosomal RNA, 182 nt
Filed under: Staphylococcus haemolyticus
Lineage: Bacteria; Bacillati; Bacillota; Bacilli; Caryophanales; Staphylococcaceae
Description: partial 16S ribosomal RNA
Rfam family: Bacterial small subunit ribosomal RNA
Source: RNAcentral
UUUAUGGAGAGUUUGAUCCUGGCUCAGGAUGAACGCUGGCGGCGUGCCUAAUACAUGCAAGUCGAGCGAACAGACAAGGAGCUUGCUCCUUUGACGUUAGCGGCGGACGGGUGAGUAACACGUGGGUAACCUACCUAUAAGACUGGGAUAACUUCGGGAAACCGGAGCUAAUACCGGAUAAU